This 14982-nucleotide long non-coding RNA is filed under the name Gossypium barbadense (sea-island cotton). Its description in RNAcentral is "long non-coding RNA (GBAR_LNC014664)". The record is from RNAcentral. Lineage: Eukaryota; Viridiplantae; Streptophyta; Magnoliopsida; Malvales; Malvaceae.
AAUGAGGUGUAGUUGAAGUAACUAAACUGACCACUGCCAGGAACCAAACCGGAGAGAUUGUUAUACGAGAAAUCGACGGAAGUUAAGCUUUGCAUAGUGGAUAUUGAAGAAGGGAUACUACCCAGGAGAUGAUUUCUCGACAGAUUCAGGUAGUUUAAUAUCCUCAUACUUGUGAUCUCAGUCGGAAUUUGACCGGAAAGCUCGUUUCGACUAAGAUCAACAAAGGUUAACAGCUUGCAUUUGCAAAUUUCUGGUGGGAUCAAUCCUGAAAACUUGUUAUGACUGAAAUCAAUCUUUGAAAGUUGCUGCAACUUCCCAAUCUCAGCUGGGAUUGGACCCCAAAACUUGUUGCCAUCGAGAAGAAGCUUUUGAACACCGGAAAAGUUACCGACGCUAGCCGGUAAAGCCCCAGAAAGUAGGUUGUUGGAUAAGCUGAUUUGGCCGAGAUUCACGGAAAUGGAAGAAUCAGUGACCGGGAACUCCCCUGUUAGAUAGUUAUCCUGUAACUCAACUUGUGUAAGCUGUGGUAAUCCCAAAAGGCCUUUAGGGAUGGACCCGUUGAGAUAAUUUUCACCCAUACGAAUCCGACUGAGUGACUCACAUUUCCCCAGCGAUUCUGGGAUUGGACCAAGCAAGAAGUUACCCAAAGUAAUCAACGUUUGCAACGUGUUGCCGGAGCACAUGUCCGGCGGCAAAGUCCCCGUUAACUUGUUCGACGAAAGAUCUAGAACUUGAAGCUUUUUGUUACUGCCCAACUUCUGAGGAAUGCUUCCGGUGAAGUUAUUUUCCCAGAGCUGUAAGACCUCCAACUCGGGCAACUCACCAAUGAAGUCAGGAAUCCGUCCGUGGAGCUUGUUUCUGAAAAGAUUGAGAAGAGUCAAGUUUUUGAGCUGAGCGAAACUCGCGGGAAUCUCACCGGUAAACAUGUUGUUCGAUAAAUCCAUGGAUUUCAAGCUGUUUAAGGUUCCCAGCUCGGGAGUUAAGGAGCCAGACAGUGCAUUCACCUGGAGGAACAAAGUGUCGAGCCUCUGCAACUUACCGAUCUCCGGCGGUAUUUCACCGGAUAACAUGCAGUUAGCGGCGUCAAAACGAACAAGUUCCGACAAGUUCCCGACCUCCGGCGGCAAACCACCUUCGAAACUAUUGAAGUAGCCAAUGUACAACUGCUUCAGCUUCGUUAGGUUGCCGAUUUCGGGUGGGAUUUUACCGCUGAGUUCGUUACCCGAAACGGCUAAAUAUUCAAGAUGCUCCCAACGGCCGUAACUUGACGGGAUCUGACCGCUGAAAUAGUUCCCUCCCAAAUGCAAGUGACGCAAAUUGGGAAGCUCCGUGACGGAAACCGGCAACUCCCCCGUCAUGUUAUUGUUGUAUAAAUCGAGUACCUGUAGAUUUUUCAGCUGGGAAAGCUGGGUAGGAAAGGAACCAUUGAAAACAUUGUUGGAAAGGUUUAGGUAACGGAGAUUGGAUAGGACGGCGAGCUCCGUCGGGAUAGGACCGUAAAGAUCGUUGGCGGCGACGGAGAGGUUUUGGAGGAAACGGAGGUGGGCAAGCGAGGGGGAAAGAGUUCCGGACAGAGUGAAGUUAGUUAAAUCGAUGGAUGUCACGUGACGACCGGUUAAAUCGCACGUGACUCCGGCGAAUGAACAAAGGGGAGUGGUUGCAUUCCAGUUGGAGAGGUAAGAUUGAGGGUCGUCGGUAAUGGAGGAUUUAACAGCGAUAAGUGCGCGAAGCUCCGUAACGGCUCUUGCGGCGGCGCCGGCGGCAUAGCAGUGGGAAAUGUGAAGAAGGAGGAAGAGGAGGAGGAGGAGUAACCUCAUUUUCCCUGUGAUGGAAAUUGGGAGGGAAGGGAAAGUGUAAACGGAAAUGGAAAAGAAAGUGAAUAAAAAGAGUGAAGCAAGUAAGCAGAGAUGUCAUUUUAUUAUGUGUUUUUUUUUUAAUAUUAUCUUUAUUUAUAAUUAUAAUUUAAUGGUAUAUCUGUAUUUUUUAACAAUCAUUGGACAAAUUCCAUUAUUCCAAAAAGAUUUAAUUUAUAAAAUGUUAACAAAUUUAAAAAUUUUAAAAAUAAUUAAAUUAAAUUACUAGAUAUAAAAGUAAAAGGACUGAAUUCUAAAUAUACGAAGAAUACAUGGAGUUGAAGCGUAUUUUAACCCUUAUAAUUAGACCCUUUUUUUGUUCUAUUUAGAAGAAGGGUGAAGAUGGGAAAUGUUAAAAGGUAAAGCAUGAUUGAAGGAGAAUUUUGGUUUGAAGGUACUAAAUCUAAGCAAAGCUAAAAUUUCCAAACUUGUUGAAAUUAUUCCAAUUAUUUGACCCAAAAUAGAAUCAAAAAAAUUAUUAAUAGCACUCUUUUUACUAUUUUAGUCAGCCAGCCAGCUAUCAAAGUUCAAAUCAUUAAACACAAGAAAAAAAGGAGAGCAAAUAUUAGAACAAUGAGGCUUAAGCCAAAGUUGGUAAAAGGAAAUUAGGUACAAGUUUGAAUAUACAAUUUAUUUAAUAAAAUAAAUAAAUUGGUGACCAAAACUUGAGAAAUUAAAGGUAGAGGUGGUGGGAUUUUAUAAGGGUUUAUAAAUCAACUUAAAUUUGAAAAAGUUUAUUUGGUCACCCAUUUAUUAUUUUUAUUAUUAUUGAUGUGAUUGAGUAGUUUAUAUGGUUAUAAAUAGUGUUUCACAUUCUAUUUUGGUUGGAAAGAUUGAAUCGAUUGAAUUUUGAUUUAAUCGUUGUGAAGAUGCAGUAAUAAUUACUAAAAUGUUAUAAGUAAUAAUUAAUAAAUGAUUCGAUUUUUUUAUGUGUCAGAACAAUUGAUUCUUAGUUCAAUUGGUUCAAUAUCAAAAAAUUGUUGAUGUUUUAUAAAGACUUAAUUGUACUAACCAUCCCUAAAUCAUUAUUCUUAUUCUAAAUUUAUCCUUAAACUUUAAAACAUUCUGCUAUUAAAAUCGUUAAUUUAACCGUUAAAUGAGAUGUUAAAUCUUAUGUGAAACAUGAAUAUUGAAAAAGUUUUCAAAGUUUUUACAGAAAUUAUCAUUCACUCUAUUUUUUCAAUUUUACUUUAUUUUUAGUUUUUAAUCAAAAGUUAUACGAUAACAUUUUACCUUUCUUUAAAACUUUCAUUUUAAAAUAUGUCACAUAAGUUUUCACAUGUCAUUUAAAGUUAAAUUAAUAGUUUCAAUAAUGGAAGGACCUAAUAACAUUGAUAGUUCAGGAUAUAAUUAGAACAUUUUGAAGUUUGGGGACUAAUUUAGAACGAAUGUCAUAGUUUGGGAAUGUUUAGUACAAUUAAUCAUGAGAUGAGGUGUGGUGAUUGCUUACCUAAUUCCUUAACUAUGAAGUCGGGAGUUCGAUCUUUGUCUAUGAGAAUAGAACGCAUUUCAUAACCAAUCAUUUACCUCUUCAAAAAACACCAUGACGAGGGGAUCAAUCACUGCUACCAACUAUAGAGUACCCUGAUUUCAAAAAAUUUUAUGAAAAAUAGAAUUAUGAUGGUAGCAGCAUUGAUGGUAAGGAAGAUUUUGGCAAUUAUGGGAAGACUGAUUUUAGUAUUUUCUUUGGAAAAGGCAGAAAUAUAUGUAGAGCAGUUGUGGAGGUUGACCCUUUUACAAUUAUUAGGGCAUUUAUUGUUCUAUUCAUUCCAUAAACCAAAGUAAACUUUCUUUUAUUCUCACAUGCCAUCACAUAUUAAAUAUUAUCUCAUUCUUUUAUUUUUUUAAACAUAAAAAUAUCUAAUUAUUAACUUCUAAUUUCAAGAUUAAUACAAAAAUGCAUAAAAUUAGUGUUAUUAAAAUUAAAUCAAUUGGUUGAAUGAAACUCAAUUGGAAAAUUAACAAAAUCCCAUUGAAAUAAAUAGAAAUACAAAAAAUCAAAAUCGAUUAUAAUGUUUUGAGUUUGUUUUAUUUAUCGUACAAAAUCUUUAAAUUUUAACCACGACUCUAAACAAUUCUUGACUUUCUUUUAAUUUAAUGAUACAUUGAAAUUGAAUUCAUUUUAUGUUAAUUUUUUUCGGAUUUUUUCUAAUUUUUAAUAAUAUUUCCAUUUUUUUAAUUUAGCAUAUUUAAAAACAACAAUAAAAAUUUAGAGUUGUGAGCAUAACAAAAAUCAUACUAUCUAAAAAUCAAAUUUUGGUAAAAAAAAACUUUUGAUUUAAAAAAUAUAUAUUUUAUGUGUGAGAGGCUCAAUGCAACUUGAUCUAUGGUCAAAGUUCUGCAUCAAUGGUAAUAGAAAAUCAGAUUAAAUUAUCAAAUAAAGCUGUUUUUUUAAAUUACAGAAAUAUGUCGAAUUUUUGAAAAAUUAUUGGAAUGGGUCGUUUUUGAUAAAAACACUUCUAGUUGGAGUCGUUUUUAAGGAAAACUCAAACAAACACUUCUAGCCGGAAAAUAUUAAUAAAAAAUAGAAUUUAGAUAGAAGUAGAAUUUUAGUAAAAAAUUAAGAGAGAAUUCGAGAAAUUUAAGAAAGAAAUGUGAGAAAUUGGCAAGUGUGGGGUUUAUAGCUUUUUUUUUACCCUGGGGGGAGGGGGCAACGAUUAUUUUAAAUAGUCGUUGGAAGUGACCGUCGGGGGGAAACGCGUUGAGCUAGACGCGUUUUUCAUUAACGCUUCCAGCUGGAAGCGUUCUACUGGUUAGAGGGGAAAAGUGCUUUUAGCUAGAAGUGUUUUAUAAAAAACGACUCAUUCCCGUAAUUUUUAAAAAAUCGACCUAUUUCCGUAAUUUUAAAAAAUAAUUUUAUUUAAUAAUUUAGUCUAAAAAUCAUAUGGAUUAAUGAUAUAACUAAUGGAAGGAAACGAUAACAUUAUUUACUUAUAUUAUAUUUGGACCGUAUCUAUAUGAACCUUAUAUAGAAAUAUAAUAAUGAUUAUAACACAUCAUAAAUCAUCAUUUAUUUUAUGGGUUAAUUCCAAAAAACAUCCUUAAACUAUUGUCAAAACUUUAAAAUGUUCUAAUUGAGUCUUCAAAGUAUCAUUUGAUAUCAAUUAGAUCUUUUCAUCGGUCUUCCUAUUGAUUUAAGGGUUAAAUGCUAGUUCAAACAUAGAAUUGUUCAUGAGUUGAGCAGCCUUCUUGGCUCGAUUGGCUUAAUCCACGAUUAGGUUAGGCUUGAGUUUAGUUUCUUUAACCUAACUUCAAAAAUUUUUAAUAUAUAAAAAACUGAAAAUUAUAUUUUAAUUUUUUAAAUUGUGAAAUGGAUCAUUUGGAGGGGUCGAGCUUCGGUCUAGAAAUUAUUCGAACAUGACAUGAUGUAUUUUUAAAAACGCAUAAAUCAAAGUGUAAAUAUAUUACUUACUAAUUAACUUGUUAAAAAAAAGAAAAUGGCAUUAAAAUUUAAGAAAGUUAUUUCCUUUAUUUUUUUUCUUUAACACGUGAGAUUCAAACAAAUUCUGUAGUAGAUACACACAGUGGUAGAGCUUAGUAGAGACCCAAGGGGCCAUACCCCCAUAAAAUGGUAAAUUUUUAAUUUAGGUCUUUUAUAAUUUAUAAAAUUUUAAAUUAGUAAUGAUAAAAUUACACUUUGACACCCCAAAAUGAUAAAAGUUUGAUUUAGCAUUUUAAAAAUUAUAAAGAUAUACGCUAUUAAAAUGAUGAAAUUACAUUUUUACUAUCGUAAAAAUAUACAAUUUAAUUCCGCCCCCCCAAAAAAAAUUUCUAACUCCGCCAUUAAAUACACACGUGUUUACAAUUUGAUACAUGUAUUUUAAAUAUGUUCAACAUCAAAUUUAAGCUGUUAUCUAACACUCAAAUGAAUAGUGAGGAUCUAUUUAAAAUUUGAAUCAUAGUUCGAGGAUAUCUACAGGAAUUAACCCUUCACUUUAGCCCACCAAUAUCAAAUUUUUCCACCAAAUUGCUUGAAUUUGUUUUUGGCAAUUCAUAAAAGCAGGGAAAAUGAGAGGAGCUGGCAGAGGGAAAUAUGAUUAGGAUAGUUAUUGAACAUUAAUAAUUUUGGUGGAGAUUGUGGUGGUAACUAAAUAAAAAGUUUGGUCAAUUUUUGUUGUCUCUCAAGACACUAUAAUUGAUGUUUCUGGACAUACUAAACUUUGAGGGAGAUGUCAAAUUCGUUAUUGUUUUCCAUAAUUUAAUACCUCUUAUUUUAUCAUUCGUCUCAUUUCAUUAUGAAUGUAUUAUAUUAAAAAUCGUUAUCAUUUUUAUAGAUAUUAAAUAUAUCAAUUCUCGUCUUACCUCAUCUAAUUUUAAUUUGAUUUUUAUCAAAUACUUUUAAUAAUUAAUUAUAUGUAAAUAUAAAAUGAUAAUUUUAAUAACAGAUAAAAUAAACCCUCCAUCCCCAUCCCUCAUUUCACUUCGCUCCCCCCCCCAAAAUCUGCUCCAUUAAAAAGAUUGAUUCGAAAUUCAUUGGGUGGUUCGAGUUUUGUUAUUUUUCCAUGUAUAAUGCAAUUACAAAUGAUAUACGUUCUAGUAAUUAUAAUUAGAAUGAAACAAAUACAAAACAUGAUCAUACUGAAAUCUAGAAUAUAUCCCCACAAUGCCUACACAUAGUGGACUUAAAUUCAAAAUAAUUUUAAGAGAGAAGUUAUAAGUAAUUAUGCAUGGUGGGGCUUAAAUAUGGGUACGCAAAAACCUAAAUUAUCCUUGUUAUAGUUUUUUCUAAAUACUAAUAAAAUUUUGAGUAGAAUCACUUUAACUUUUGCGAUGAUAUUAAUUAUCUUUUGGCUUAAUACAGGGAGCUCUUCUGCAUUUUUUAAAUUCAUAAUGAAAAUUUUAAUUAUUAACCUUAACAUUUUAAUUAUUAACAAUAAUAAUUUUAUACACGGUCGCUCACAUUGUAAUUGAUCGUGUACAUUAUGCUUUUUUAUUUUUUAAAACUUUUUUUUGAAUAUUUUUAUAAUUUUUAAGUUAUAUGUUGAUAUAUCAUAUAAAACAAAUAGUGUAAUGUCAACAUGAAAUAUACAUCAAUUGUCAUGCAAGUUGCCAUGUGCCAUGAUACAACCUUGUAGGGCCAUUACAGCGUAGGAUGCCAAGCCACCCAUGUAGAGGAACUUGAGAAAGGGUAGAUCUUUUGUAUUUAGGAAAGUGUCUUCAUUUCAAACAUCUUUAUGUUUCCUGGUAGGCAUUUCUAUAAAAACAUUUUAGCAUCUUUGUUGGGGGUAGACAGUCAACAGUUGUUGGACUGAGCUACAAGUUAAGGUAUCACCAUCGAGGGCUACUCCUACGACCCACUAAUGGUGUGGGUAAGUGAGUCCUUUUAUAACCCCUUGUAAUGUUUUUAAUAUAAUAAACCCAUUUUUCCCUCCAGGGAAAUGUGAGGUAAUGUGAGGGCAUUUGUUAUGCCCCACGGAAUAGAAUUAUGGCUUGAGACUAACUUGUGGCAUGCUUGUCUUUAUAAACUAUUGAGAUUAUUGGCUGACUUGAGUAGAAGCGUCCAUCCAAGUGCCUCGUAGGCUUGCAACCGUAUGAACAAAGUUGAGUCUAUGAUAUGUGGUAUCCAAGCUAGCAAAAUCACAUCGUUGAGAACUAAAAAAUGCUGUAGGCAAUGUGUUAAAAGAUCCCCAUACAAGUGGCUCGAAUGACCACCACAGAAUUGAGGAAUUUGAGGCCAUGGUGGCCACCUUAAAAGCCCAUAUGGUCAUGAGUAAUCGAGCAUGAGAGAUUGAGAUAGCCUAGCGGAAGCAAUCUGAUACGGUGAACACCUUUAGUAAGGAAGCGAUUGAUGUUUUGAAUGCAAUAAAGUAGCGAUUUGAGGAAUCAAUAAAAAAUCUUGGCAAUAAUACAAGAGAUACUAUUGGGGCCGUCAAACAGGAGUUCAAUGAACUCAAGGCCCAGGUGAAUGUAAUUCAGAUGAUUGUGAGCUUAGUAGGUUGUUGCUCCACUGAUAGAGGAAAAAAAGGCCAAUGGUCUAGAAUCGCAUUGGUUUGAGGGAGCGCGGGCUGCCAAAGAGCUUGAGAACUUCCUGUUUGAUAUGGAAUAAUACUUCAAGGUGACGUGCACUAACUUGAAGGAAUACAAGGUAGUAAUGGUUACGAUGCAUCUAACGAUAGAUGCCAAGUUGUAGUGGUGUUCUAAAUUUAUCGAUGGUAAGUGCUCAUCAAAACAUGGAAUAGUUUGAGACAAGAACUGAAGAGUCAAUUCUUCCCUAAAAAUAUGGAAUACAUGGCUAGGUAGCAGCUUAAAGAGCUGGCUCAAAUGAGGAAUGUGUGAGACUAUGUGAAAAGUUUUUCCAUCUUGAUGCUAGAUAUCAAGAAAAUGUUAGAGAUGGACAAGAUUUUUACUUUCUUGAGGGGUUCAAUCCUUGGGCUAGAACAUAAAUACAAAGGCAGAAGGUGCAAGAUGGGGCUGCCACAAUGGCUAUAAUUGAGCGUCUUAAUGAUUAUAGGGACGACUCUUCGAAACGCAAGACGCCCUAUUCUAGUGGUAGUAGUUCGAGUUAGGGCAAUAUGGGGAAGGUGGCAAAAACUCAUUGCCCUUCAAAUAGAGGCAAAGAUAUAAGACCACCCUAUAAAUAUUCCACUAAAUUGAGAUCCAACAAUGCCCCUAAUGCCAAACUAAGACAACUUAUUGCUUGUUUCUUGUGUCAAUGACUUUAUCGAGUGGUUGAAUAUCCGUAUAGGGGUGAUUUGAAUGCCUUAGUGGCUUCCUCCCAAGAUAGAACUCAAGAAAAUCAAUCCAAUGAUGACAAUGAGCUUAAGUUGACCAGGAUGGGCUCGAUACAAUUCUUCAAUACCUUACAUUCAUAAUUGAAGAAGUUAAAGAAGGAACUAGGGAGGGGCCUCAUGUUUGUGGAUGUGAUAUUGAAUGGUAAAGCAACAAAAGCCAUGGUGGACACAGGUGUAGCCGAUAGUUUUAUUACGUUUGAUAAGGCAAAAAGAUGUAGGUUGAAGGUCACUAAGGACUUUGAGCAAAUGAAAGUGGUUUUUACUCUAUUUCUUUAAUGAUUUAUAGAAGCUCUGAGAAUCUGAUAAUGAAAUUAGAGUCAUGGGAAUAAGGCGUGAACUUUACAGUUUCCCUUAUGGGAUGAUUUUAAUGUUGUCUUAGGAUUGGAUUACAUGGUUACUACACAGGUGAUCUCGAUUCCCACUACAAGAUGCUUGAUGUUCUUGGAGAAACGCACAUAUGUAGGGUCUGCUACAAUUCUUCUAAUAAGUGGGAAGAUCUUGUCAGCUAUACAGUUUAAGAAAUGGGUAAGAAUAGAUGAACUUUCAUUUUCUUGACAAUCUCUAAAGCGGGAAUUGAAGUGACUUCCUUUCCAAGUGUAGUGGAAAAGGUAUUGAAAGAUUUCAAAAACAUGAUACCAGAUCAGUUCUCGAAAGUAUUACCACCAAGGAGAACUAUGAACGGUAAGAUUUAGUUAAUUUUAAGGGUGAAGCCACCAGCAAGAUGCUCAUAUGGGAUAACUCCACAAGAAUUAGCUAAGUUGAUGAAGCAAUUGGAUGAGCUGCUUUAAGCAGGUUUCAUUCGCCCUUGGAAGGCAUCCUAUGAAGCCCUUGUUCUAUUCCAAAAGAAGUAUGAUGGGAGUUUGAGAUUAUAUUGACUACUGAGCCUUAUACAAAGUGACUGUGAAGAACAAGUACUUAAUCCCUUUGAUUGUCGACUUAUUUGAUUAGUUGAGCCAUGCCAAGUAUUUCACAAAACUUGAUCUUAGAUCGGGCUACCAUCAAGUCAGAAUUACGGAGGAAGAUAAGCCAAAGACAGCAUGUGUAACAUGGUAUAGAGCUUUCAAAUUUCUUAUUAUGCCAUUUGGACUAUCCAAUGCUCCUGCUACAUUUUGUACAUUAAUGAACCAAGUAAUUCAUGAUUACUUGGACAAGUUCGUGGUCAUUUAUCUCGAUGAUAUAAUAGUCUAUAGUCUUUCGUUGGAGGAACAUUUGAGGCAUUUGUGAUUGGUAUUUGUAUUAGAAAAAAUCUGGUUCAAAAAUGGUAUUCUCUACUAUUCUCGUACCAUGAACUACUUUGAAUGUCGGCUCAUACAAUUACGAAUCAAACACAGAACCAUAAAUAAUUUUUGUACUUUCAGUAGAAAAGUAAAUUUCUCUCUUAUAGAAACUGGUAGAAUUGUUAUUCUUAAAAAAUAUAAUUUAUACUUAGAAAUAAAUUCACUAUUUUCACUGGUUCCAACUAUUUAUAGGGAGAGGAAGUGAAACCUUAGUUAAAUUAGUAGAAUGCAUUUAAUGCCUAUUUAAUAGAAGAAGAAAAAAACCAAUCCCCUAGUUGAACUAGGAGAGAGGGGCGACUAAUUAGGUUUGUCUCCUCUUAUAUGUAUUAUGAUGGGGAUUCAAGUCUCUUCUGUAUUGGGUUCAAUUAUAUGUGUUUCCUAAACUUUUAACUCAACACUUUAUAACUUAAUUCAACUCAUGUAGUCACGAAGUCAUUCCACUAUAAUAUCAUGAUUGAUAGACUUCCUCACAACAAAGUCAAUAAAGACGUCGACAGAUUAAGUGGAGAGGGUGUCAUGAUCCAACCUUGUAAGUUCAUGACAAGGUAGAAUGCUAAAGGUCCACCUAUGUAUAGAGGCCAUGGCAAAGGGUAGAUUUUUUGUAUUUAGGAAAAUGUCUUUAUUGCAAACAUCUUUACGUUUCCUGGUAGUGUUCCUAUAAAACAUUUUAGCACCUUUGUAGGGGAUGGACAGUCAACAAUUGUUGGGUUAAGCCAUUAGUUAAGGUAUGUGCUUGGUCACCAUUGAGGGUUUGCCCCUACGACCCAUCGAUGGUGUGGGUAAGUGGACCCUUUUAUAACUCGUUGUAAUGUUUUUAAUAUAAUAAACCCAUUUUUUCCUUUUGGAAAAUGUGAGGUAAUGUGAGGGCAUCCGCUAUGCCCCAUAGGGCUGAAUUGUGGCUUGAGGCUAACUUGUGGCAUGCUUGUCUUAACAAACUAUCGAGAUUGUUGGUUAACUUUAGUGGAAGCAUCCAUCCAAGUGCCUCGUCGGCUUGCAACCGAGGGAACAAAGUUGAGUAUGUGACAUCAUGCCAACAUCGUUAUUAGAUUAAUAUUCUAGUCAAUAUUUCCACUAAAGAGCAACAAUUUGACUUUUUUUAUAUGUUAAUAGUCAAAUUUAGCUAAAAAAAGAGUGACAAUCAAAUUAACAAAAAUUGUAAACCUUGAGAACUAAUUUUAUCACUUUCAUUAUCUUAUGCAUUUUUUAAAUAAUAAACUUAAAAAAAUAUCGAACCCAAAAGAAAAAAAAAACUUAGAAAAUAUUUGUAUAGUGGGAGAUUCAUUGAUUUUAUCAUUUUAUAUGUUUUCUUUUCAAACAACCUUUUCCUAUAGUAGUAUAAAACUUAAAUACAAUGGUGAAAUCAGAAAAAAAUUUUAGGGAAGUGAAAUUAAAUUGUAUAUUUUUACGAUAGUAAAAAUGAAAUUUCAUCAUUUUAAUAUCAAUAUCUUUAUAAUUUUUAAAAAAUUAAAUCAAAUUUUUAUCAUUUUAAGGGGGCCAGAGUGUAAUUUUACCUUUGUUAAUUUAAAAUUUUUAUACAUUUUAAAGGGGCCUAGAGAAAAAAAAUUUCAUUUUAAGGGGGUCAGGACCUCUGUCAGCCCCCCUUGAUUACGCCCCUGCUUAAAUAUACAUUUGAUCCUUCAAUUUGACAUUUUCUCUCAAAUUGGUAUUAUGAUUUUUUAUCUCAACUUGAUACCCAAAAUAUUUUUUCGUCCACAACUCCGGUACAUUUUUGUAAUGCUAUUAAAUCUAAAACAAAGGACACCACAUAUUAUAGUGAUGACAUCAUAAUGAUAUCAUCAUUCGAAAACUAUAAAAAUUAAAAAAUAUGGAAAUUUAAAAAAAUAUAUAAAUAAAAAUUCCAAAAAUAAAUAUAUACAUCUAAAUUUUAAAUUUCUAAAUAUAUAUAAAUUAAAAAAAAAUCUAAAAAGCAUCUCUAAACCCAUAAAUAUCAACCCCUCAAAAAAAAAUUUCAACAAUUAUCUUCUUUCCACCAUCAUCUUCUUAUUCAAUUUAGUUAAAAAAUUCUAAAGCUAAGAGCCUUCACCCUCACAAUUUAAUUUAACAACCAUCCACCCUCACUAUCCCUACUCUCAUAAAUCAAUUUGGAUUUAUUUUCCAAAAAUAAUUAUAAAAAAAAAAACCCCCCACAAAGUUGUAAAUUGGAAAACCAAUGAACUACACGAUUUGAUUAUUUGAAUUGUUUUAUUUUAUCCUAUUAGAAUUGGUUUAUUUUUUAUUUUAUCCGAUUUUUUUUAUAACAAUGCAAAAAAAAAUGACCUUAGUAAUUUGAUUUUCUAAUUUUGUAUAGUAGCAACCCAGAAAAUCAAUUCUAUAACCAUGAAAGUUUUGGAAGGGUGGAAUUUGGUGAAGAAUUCUAGGGGUAGGCAGUAGGGAGUUGAAGAUCAACUUUCUUUUUACUGGAUUUUUAUUCCAAUAGAAAAAGGAGGGUUUGAAGGCAUGGAAUUGGAAAUCUAGGAAAAAGAAAGUCAAGGUUGCAUGAAUGAUCUUUGAUGGAAGGAGAGUAGAAAGAGAUGAAGAGAAGUAAACAAACACAUUAUCUAAAACUAAGUCAAUUGAAUCUUACUUCGAUUGGUAUGGGCAUUGUUGUUAAUGCAAGAAGACAUAGAUUUGAGUGCAAUAAAAUACAUUAUCCUCCUAUUUAUGUGUUGGAAAAGAACUAUAAUAGAUAAAAAAAAUUGGGACAACAAAAAAGAAUAAGUACCAACUUAAAAAAAUAUCAAAUUCAGGGGUGAAAUGUUAAGCCUUAAAAAGAAACACUGAGCCCAAAGCUUUUUCCAACCCAGAAAACACGACGUUCUUGUACCUAAAACCAAUCUAUCACUGUUUUUUUAUAUUGCCUUGAAAGCAGUUCUUUAUGUCCCCUCGAGCAAUUAAGUAUCCAUAGAUUAUGAUGAUAAUUCAUACAUGUAAUGUGACUGUUUAUGUGCUUAUCCAUUAAAUAUUUCACUUUGAUUUUCGAUAAAACAGCUGUUUCAUAAACUCAAACAGAAAGGGAAGAAAACUAGCAGUACAGCAUGAUGAAAGACGAGCUUCUUCCUUUUUUAUAACAAAAUACCCCCACCAAUCCUACUAUACACAAGAAAAGGAAAAAAAAAAAACACCAAACGUUUAAACACCUUAAAGUUAGAGCAAAAAGAACACUAAGUAGUAAUAAAACUACCAUCCCUUUGGAACAUUAACAUCCUUAAAUGCUAAGAAGAUCAGGUGGUGUUGAUUUACGUGCUGGUGGCUGUUGCUGGUCUUUUGUGAUUGUUGUUGUAGGUGGGUCUAGGGUUGUGCACGGUGCCGGUGAUGUUGGGGACUCUGAGUUUGGUGGUUUUGGGAGUUCAGUUAGGAUUUGAACCACUUCCCUCAUUGUCGGUCUCUCUACGGCCUGUUCUUCAACACAGAGCAUCGCAACGUAGAAAACAUGCAUCACUUCGUGGAGAGGAACCGAUGGGAGUCUGGGAUCGAGGACUUUGAGGACGCCUUCUUUGUUUGAAUCUGUCAUCUUUCGAACCCAUUGAACAAUGUCGACACCGUCACCGAACUCACCUACUGGUUUUCUGCCACAGACGAGUUCUAACAGGACUACACCAAAGCUAUACACAUCACUCUUCUCGUCUACCUUCAGCGUGUAGGCAUAUUCUGCGAAAAAUACAGAGGAAUUAUAUGAAAUUCUAAGGGAAAUUAGUACUGGACAGUUAGAACCACCAAUUUUGGUUGGUCAAACUAUAACUAAAUUGAUGUACUUUGAAACCUGCAUAUAUUGAUUGAAAUGAAGAAAAUAUGAACUUCAAUAGCACCAAAUCAUGGUAACACACAGUCAAAACCAAAGUACAGUAAAAAUUAUUGGUAGUAUUAAUGCAUAAUCCGUGAUCCAAUCCCAAAUCAUUAAAAAAGUCAAAUGAAACAUCAAGCAAGUUCUUUGAACCCUUCUGUUAAAAAGAAUAGUAUAUACCUGGAGCAAUGUAUCCGUAUGAACCGGCUAUGGCGGACAUGCAUUCGGAAGUGCCUGAAUCUUGCAGGAAUUUAGCAAGGCCGAAAUCAGCAACGUGAGCUUCAAAAUCUGAGUUGAGGAGAAUAUUGUUCGAUUUCACGUCCCGGUGGACUAUCAAAGGGGAACAAUCAUGAUGAAGGUAGCAUAGUCCCUUAGCAGCCUCUACAGCGAUCUUGUAUCUGGUAUCCCAGUGCAAAUGACCCCCUUUCUUGCCAUGAAGAACCUCUCCUAAACUCCCAUUAGGCAUAUACUCAUAAACCAAGAGAUUGGUUUCAUGGUUUGAGCAAAAACCCAACAAUCUCACAAUAUGCCUGUGCCUAAUCCUCCCCAGAGUUUGUAUCUCAGCAUUGAAUCCGUGAUCAUGGGAAGACCCUCGGCUCAUUGCCGGUAACCUUUUAACGGCAACAUGGUCACCACUAGGCAUGGAUCCCUUGUACACAAUCCCAGCACCUCCUUUGCCUAUAAUAUUAUCCUCCUUCAAACAAUCCAAAACAUCAUCACAAGUAAAAUCCAAGCGCUGGAACGCGGUUAACUUCCAAGCCCGAGAAUCACUCGCUUUCUUCAAGGACCGUGCUUUGAUUAUAGCCGCAACUGCAAACAAGAUGGAGAAGACAAGCAGGCCUAUAACGAGCAAAAGUUUCAAAGAUGCAGAGAGUCCACCUUUAAUAUGAGUUUCAUGAGUUCCUUUAGCAACCCCAUCUUUGCAAGGCCCCAAAUAAGGACCACACAGCUCAGGGUUCCCCAAAAAUGAGGUGUAGUUGAAGUAACUAAACUGACCACUGCCAGGAACCAAACCGGAGAGAUUGUUAUAAGAGAAAUCAACUGAAGUUAAGCUUUGCAUAGUGGAUAUUGAAGAAGGGAUGCUACCCAGGAGAUGAUUUCUCGACAGAUUCAGGUAGUUUAAUAUCCUCAUACUUGUGAUCUCAGUCGGAAUUCGACCUGAAAGCUCGUUUCCACUAAGAUCAACAAAGGUUAACAGCUUGCAUUUGCAAAUUUCUGGUGGGAUCAAUCCUGAAAACUUGUUAUGACUGAAAUCAAUCUUUGAAAGUUGCUGCAACUUUCCAAUCUCAGCUGGGAUUGGACCCGAAAACUUGUUGCCAUCUAGAAGAAGCUUUUGAACA